AACCGAGAACUCCUACGGGAGGCAGCAGUCGGGAAUCUUCGGCAAUGGGCGAAAGCCUGACCGAGCGACGCCGCGUGAGGGAUUGAAGGCCUUCGGGUUGUAAACCUCUUUCGUAGAGGAGGAAGGGGCCGUGAAGAACGGUCUUUGACCUAUUCUAGGAAGAAGCUUGGGCUAAGUUCGUGCCAGCAGCCGCGGUAAGACGAACCAAGCGAACGUUAUUCGGAAUUACUGGGCUUAAAGCGCGUGUAGGCGGAUGACCACGUCAGUUGUUGAAAUCCCCCGGCUCAACCGGGGAACUGGCACUGAUACGAGUCGUCUGGAGGUGGGUAGGGGAGACUGGAACUUCCGGUGGAGCGGUGAAAUGCGUUGAGAUCGGAAGGAACGCCCGCGGCGAAAGCGAGUCUCUGGACCCAUACUGACGCUGAGACGCGAAAGCCAGGGGAGCAAACGGGAUUAGAUACCCGAGUAGUCCGACUGAGA
RNAcentral lists this ribosomal RNA (480 nucleotides) under uncultured bacterium. RNAcentral describes it as "bacterial SSU rRNA". It matches the Rfam family "Bacterial small subunit ribosomal RNA", at positions 327 to 805 of the family's 1533-position model. The record is from RNAcentral.